This is a long non-coding RNA of Symsagittifera roscoffensis, 1151 nucleotides long. RefSeq lists it as uncharacterized. NCBI's taxonomy places the organism in Eukaryota, Metazoa, Xenacoelomorpha, Acoela, Convolutidae. The transcript has 3 exons. The record is from RefSeq and is a predicted model, not a curated record.
GUCUGAUCCUCGGAUGGGUCCAGUGGUUCUGCCAUAGGGUAGAUUAGUUCAUCUCUUAUCGGUGGGUUAAUUACAUCUUCGAUGUCUACGGAGUCUUUCGCAAUAAUUGUCAGUUGGAAUUUUUCCGCCCACCUUUCCCAGUCAUGUUGAUUUUCGUAUGAUGAGUUGUUCCAAAAAAACUCUAGUCCGCGUAGGUUUGAUUCAUUCGACUGCGCCAUGUUAAAAAAUUAGGAUACCACUCGUGUUGUAAAAGAGUGACUUAAACUAAGAAUAGAUUAAGACUGUGGAUGAUUAAGAUUCCUACUAAAAUUGUAGGCUUUUAUUUAAGACUAAAUAAAAGACGGGGAUUCUAUCUAAGUUAAGAGAGGUUUAAAAGAUUGAAUUGGUUGCGAUUGAUUUGUUACGUAUCAUAAAAGAUAGUGUCCAAUUCAGAGUCUACCAAAAGCCGUUGCGCUUUUGGCAGGUAUAUAAAUUAACAACUUAAAGGUCGAUGGUAAGUUAAGAUCAGAGGUUAAAUAAACAAACCAUAAUACUUUUACAACUUUAACUUGUUGUCUUUGGCUGUCAGAAACUGAAAAUUAAGGACAUGCGUUGGCCUCUUUGCAACCACGUGCUAUAUUUCUCAUGAUUUCAAACCAUUUUGACCACCUAUGCUUUUCGCUUUACCAAGAGAUUACCCACUAAGGCGACGAAGACAAAAACUGACAAAUAUUGCCCAAUCAUUAUUCUGCAGCAGCUUUAUAUAAGGUCGUGAAUUAGUUUUCUGUUUCCUGAUUUGCUUUUCGAGGAUAUCUCAGAUCUGUCAAAGAGCCAUCCCGUUGUCCAUAUAAGUAUAUAAGCUUAGUACUGACGUCAUCAAUAACAGUGACUCAUAUAGAUCCACAGAUUAGUCUAUCUAUAUACAUGACUAUGGCGCUGGUGUGCUUUGACAAAUUGCGGGCCCAGCUGGAGCAGCACAAGUGUCAGAUGGAGUACCACCAGACAGAGGCAGAACAGAACAAGUGUCUCAUGCAACAACAUGCCGCUCAGAUGGAAGCCCACAGGAUAGAGAUGGAGAAGCACUGUUGUGCGUGGAAGCAGCACGCCGCCGAAAUGGAGUUUCACCGGGAGAGAAUAGAAUGUCUCACGGCUGAGAUGAACGGAUUCGCACA